AGAUUGAUCUCCAACACCGGUGCAGAAGAAAAAACGCAAAUACUUGUCACCCUCUUUCGCUAUUCGGGGCUCGCUAGGCAAGCCGAGGUGAGGAGAGAGAAAGGGAAAAGGAGACGGAGCACGAGAGGAAAGGAGCGGCGGCGGUGGGGUAGGAUCCGCCGAGGAGAGGAGUAGCUUGGUCGGCGGAGGAGGGGUAGAAGUGCGCAUCGGAGGAGAGGGAGUUCGGGGCGGAGGAAGGGUGGCCCGAAGCGGAGAAGCCCGCCGCCCUGCGUCACCGACACCACUACCGUCUACCCCGCUGUUGCCGCCGCGAGGAGGAGAGGGUACCGCCAGCCGCCGCGAGACCGGCACCUCCGGACGAGGAGUACGAGGAGCAGACGGGCGAGGUAGAGAGGCGCCGGCGUGGGCUCAGGCUCACGCGGUUCAAGCGGCCGGGCGCGCGUGGACGUGGCCGAGGAGAAGUAGGCUGGGCACGGCGCGACGCAAGCGGCGCAGCGGAGGAGGACGCGAUGCGGCCGAGGCGGCGGGGUCUGGUGCGGGGAAGCGUACGACGAUGUCGCGGGGGGCGCGCCAGCGGCCGAGGGAGGCCGGCCGAGGCGGAGACGGGCCCCGGCCCACGAGGAGAGGAGCGCGCGGGAGCGCCAGCGUUCUCCGCCUAUACAUGCCUCCUAGGUGCUCGAACCACGGUAGGUAGGGCAGGCCGCUGCGAGUGGGGGAGAGGAGGUUGCGCAGCCACGAAAUAAGUGAACGCAGAAGCGACGGAGUUCACGCGUCCACUAAGACGUUUGGGGAGAGAUUAAAGAGAGAGAGAGAGAGAGAGAGAGAGAGAGAGAGAGAGAGAGGGAGAGAGAACUAAGCCAACAACGCAACGUUCUUUAUAAUAACACGUCUCCACCGACGUCGAUACGUGUAGACAAAAACUCCGACGUCUACGCUGGUGGUCGACAAACAUAUUUACGAGUUCCUCCUGACGAGACCUCUCCUGUUGUGCACACAAACUUUCUCCCUACCUUUUCUCCCCCGAUCUCAUUCUCUUCUCCUUCCUCACCUCGGUGUACAAUAAAGAAACAGGAGAUGCAGUAGGGUGGUAAUAUCUCUAAAAGAACCUACUGUACGGAGGGUAUGAGAGCGGGGAACACGAGGUAGACACAACCAUGGGAAAGUACCAAAGAACAGAGGUGAAGAAAGUACUAAGUAAGAAAAGUUUAUGAUUAAGUCCAACAAUAUGAUUAAACUGGCUACACCUGCCACAUUAUUAAGUCCAGCACGUACUGCCAGACGACUAAAGGAACUACGAAGUAGUCCAAAGUGAAAAAACUAUGUAACUAACCAAGGGUUAAACUACGUUUAUCGGUUUUACUUACCUAUAAUGAACACCAGUCUGAUUUAAAAGGCACAAGAAACACACACUAAUACGAGUUCAAAACCUUUUUAACCCGAUUCCCCACUAACACGAGUCCAAAACCACGUCCAAGAAAACUUAAGACUUUGAAACCAAACCAUACUGUCUGUUACGAUAAUUAUAAACUUGUCUGUUAUAUCAAUUAUCUCAGUGAAGUAUGAUUGUGCGUUUGAGUAAAACAUAACGUCACUCUAAGUCUAUUAAAAUCCUUUGUGUACCUUUCCUCAGGUCUGCCCGAGCCGCAUGUACCAAAAGUCAAUUGCACAGGAUUAAAACGUCACUCACUAGCUGCUUCCUUCGUGUUCCUUUUCUCGUUCGGUACUUUCUACGUCACUAACUAUCUAACCCGUUGAACAAGGACAAUCAAAGAGAUAACCGUUUCUUGUUAUAGGAUAAUUAGUAAAAAACACAUACGUAUUACAUAUAUCAAUUAGUUAACCGACACAUAUCACUGUAAUCAUUACUGGAACUGUCAAUGUUCACUUUCCAGUAAGAGUCUGGCUUUUUCGUCGACGCAACACGCUUAGGGUCUAGAACAUUACUGGAGCUUGACAUAAAUGUGGCCGAAUCUCUGGGGAGCCGACCACUUAGCCAACAGGUACCACGCAGUCGGUACUUUCUACGUCUUCUUUUUUAGUACGCUCAAGGAGAUUAAACGAAGGUAUUAAAAAGAGGGAACUCAUAUAUAUUUAUGACGUGUUUUCAAUUAAAGAAAUGAAGACCUGGCGCAGAUUAAAACCCCUUUUCUCUCCCUAAACUCUCUUUAUUCGUUGUACUUCUCGAAACAAAACAGAGAAACGCAAAAGUUGGCGUACAGGCGUACAUUAAAACCUCUUUUCUCUCUCCUUAAACUCUCUCUAUCUGUUAGACUUCCCUACAACACCGAUGUAGUAGGAACAUCAGCGUUCCCUAUGAAAAACACCAUACUAAAGAAACGUACAACUAUUUUCGUGUGUGUGGGUGGUCCAAGUCCAACGAAAAGAAUACUUCUAAACACAGCGAGAAACAAGACUCCAAGAAGUCAAAAUGAAACAUCCAACUAUUUUCGUGUGUGUGAGUGGUCCAAGUAGUCCAACGACACUCACACCGGUAGUACCGAUAGGGUCGUCGUCCAAGUCGAAGACAUGUAGGUAAAAAAGCCGAUGAAACGUAGAAAGUCUAGACGUUAAUGUAUACUACAAUCAAGGGAAGACGGUAUGCUACAUGACGAUGAAGAAGAGUCUACACAACCAAAGACGUCCAGGUAACCAACGAAGUAAAAGUGGAUAUACUAUCGAGCCCCGUACGAGUGGUCAACAAGGCAAUUUUACUGUUUUGGCUGACUUAAAAUAGAGAAUAUACACAAUGAUUUAUGAUCUCCACUAAUAAAAGAAAGCCCCCUAAUGUCAAAAUAUUCGCAAUACGAAAAACUCUGAAACUCCAGGUUUGAUUAAUCAGAAACUCUAGAGUUACGAAGAUAUAUCUAUAUUAAUCAUAAAGACUGUUACUCGUAGAGGCUUCGACGUUGGAUACGAUUUUCAUCACGAAUAUCGGCAUCAUCCGCUAUGUAGUAAUGUUGAUUACACACUGUGAAUAAAACGUUGUCGUUGUAGGUUCAAAAAGUUGUAAAAUGUUAGAAUGAUUACACACGGCGGUUCAAAGAGAUAAAAUCUGCCAUGACAGAACAAUGAAGACUUUUACCCACACACAAGACAAAUCGACUGAUAUUAAGCAACAACAUCAGCUUCUACAAGGGUCCGAUCGUAGACCAAAUCUUGAAAUGUUAAGUGUAGUUAUGACUUAAACAAAACGAUGACUUAAACGUAUAAUAAAGGUUAUAACGCAGAGUAACGUGAAACUUUUAUGUGACCUGAUAGUCACCGCUAAAUUAAGACGAAUAAAGAAUCGAUGUUAUAAGGUAUCUUUUUUGAACUUGAAAUUAUAGACUCACUAAUCACACGAAACAUAUAGACUACAUAGCCCCUUGAGAUUAUAGACUCAAUAUAUAUACCAACAGACCGUUCUAACCAAAAGUGGAUAGAUCGAGGAGUCGAGUUCCAAAAAUUCUGCUAUGUAAAGAACUAUGUAGUUGAUGGGUAUUUGUAUGGAGUACAAACGAAUUUCCUGUUGACUAUAGAGUUAGUCGAGUGGGAAAAGACGGUUUUUGGAUAGUAGUACAAGGAAUUUUAUUCAAUACGAAGACAAACAUGUAAACGUCGAAUACCACGACGUAGAAACCAAGAAAAAUAAGUUAAGUCUCGUCCUCUGUUACGAAAUAUAACUAACAAGACCUAUCCAUAAAUCAGCAUUCUCUAUAGUGGAGACACAGAGGUUUUUUCGUUUUUGUUGUUAAGUGACAACUAAAUGAAACGAUACUAACGAGGGUAAUCUAACAGGAAUUUAGUACACGUUUUGACUUCAUAACACAACCGACUGACAGUCGGACUGUCUACUCUACCCUACUACUACGUCUCACAAUUUUCCGGAUUACCCAAUAGAGGAACCAUCUAAUUCAAACAACCUAACCAAAGUGCGGUAACUUUUGUCUACUGUGGUACGGAGGGGGUUAAUGUACACAGCGAAGGUUCAUCCUGGGCAAACGUUCAUUCUUUCAUUAUUACUUAAAAGAUGAGAGACAAGAGACGACUUGAAAGAAAAGAAAACGGUAAAACCGACCAUCAGAAAGUAUCUUAAAACACUAUAGAUGGACUGAGGUGUUCCAGUACGUUGUAAUUCUUAACGACCCAAAUUUUUUACGUCCUACCUUAAAUAACAAUUAAUUAAUAGAGAUAGACUUCGUUCUGUAAAAAUCAUGUGACAACUUAUCUCAACUACAUAGUCGUACUCAUUGUAACGCCGUAAGAUUCCCAACCAAGAUCUUGGGGUGGAUCUUUCGUGACAAAAAGGUCGUUGAUACACCAAGUAUACAACUACCCUCCUCUUGGUCCUCCAUCACGUUAUAGAAAUAAUCAAUAUGAGUCCCUACGUUUCAGAAGUGGACUACUAAGGUGGGGAAAUGUACUGUGACCGACGCCGUGUCAUCUUUCACAGAGCGGCUACGAGAAAUGCUGUGGUUGACUAGCUAAUUACUGACGUGAGUAUCUCUUGUAUUGUUCCAUAAAAUCCUUCACGAACCUGGUCCAAGUUUAAAAACUGUCAGAAUCCGUGUCACAACCAAAGUUCAAAAAAAGGCUGUGUCAAUUCUGAAAGACUUUACGUCGGAACUUGAUGUACACAAGACAUGUUUCGAACAAAUCAAGAGAUUUUGGACGUGUACAAUCUAUGUCAAACUCGCUUGUACACGUCUAAACACUCUUGAUUUUUUUGAAACAGGUCUUGUACAGGCAACUAUCAUUCUAACAAACACUAUUACUUUCCUCUGUUACGCAAACUAUAUCGAACAGUACUCUAUUACUUUGUUAUCACAAAUAAACCAGUGGUCGUUCUACUACUACACUUUGCUUGCCGAUAAACGCGGAAAGUCUCAAAGAUGGUAAAUUAUCAAAGGGUAUUGUCUUAUAAACGAUUAUCAAUCUGCUGGAACACUAAAACAAAGAUACCCAUUUGUUUAUAUUCCAAUUAGUACAUUCGUAUCGAACUCGUUUUCGUGUACUCAAUCGAAGACCUAACCAUCGAUUUUUACUCUAUGAAUACCAACAACUACGGAAGGAAAAAAACAUCAUUGUAGGUACACAGGUCGUAUACAUCUUGUAAUCUAAAAAGAACCAACUAACAACAUCAAGCAAGAGUUCCAAACCUUUCAAGAAAUCGAUAUAAGGAACAGAGUACGUUCGUCCUCGUUAUAGAAGAAAUACGACACACGGCGGUUCAAAGAGAUAAAAUCUACCAACACAGAAAAGCGAAGAUUCUUCCCUAUACAUAAAAUAAUUAGACUGAUAUUAAACACCAUCCAUGUACGACUUUCUACAAGACUCCGAUCGUGGACCAAAUCUUCAAAACGUUAAGUGCUGUUAUGGAGUAUUAACACUAAACUACAGGUCUUACAAUUAACUUCUUACUCAGAUACUUGACUUGACGUAACAUAAAACAUUAUAUAGGAAUAUAUAUAUAUAUAUACCACGAACACCGCAAAAAAGCAUUAAUAUUCAAAAAUCUUGUUAAGCGGAAGAUAGUGAACGCUGGAUCUGGUAGAAAAAGACCUGACUAACUAAGGUCAAAUAAAUAUAAACAUUUUUGGAGUAACUGAGUCCAAAGAAAUAUAAACAAGUCCAAAGUCAGUUGCCUUUGUCCUGACGACAUGCGUGAAGAAAAUGCUUCUACAUGAACCACAACGAACCAUCCCUCUUUACUUCACACACGGAGUAACACUUAAGAUAGCUCUUCGUUGAUAAAAUCAAUAUACAGUUAAAGAUCCUGUGUGCUCCAGUCGAAUUUAUACCUUCAGACGAAUGUCACAAGGGUGCGAAUACGAAGUAGGUCCCCUCACGACUGUCACCUACUAAAAAAAACAUAUUAACCAAACCUGUAGUAUUCAUGUUAAAUCCGAUACCUUCACACAACCUAGGGAUACGAAGUAAAUGAUAUGCGGGAGGGAGGAACGGAAAACAGAACGAAGAGUUAGUUGUGGACCCAUUAAUACCCCCUUAUAUCGGAGAAGAGACCAGUUUG
RNAcentral lists this ribosomal RNA (6010 nucleotides) under Triticum aestivum (bread wheat). RNAcentral's name for it is "partial small subunit ribosomal RNA". The record is from RNAcentral. Lineage: Eukaryota; Viridiplantae; Streptophyta; Magnoliopsida; Poales; Poaceae.